GAUGAACGCUGGCGGCGUGCCUAACACAUGCAAGUCGAACGGAGAUUACGGACGGAAGUUUUCGGAUGGAAGCCUGUAAUUAUUAGUGGCGGACGGGUGAGUAACGCGUGGGCAACCUGCCCUAUACAGGGGGAUAGCAGCUGGAAACGGCUGGUAAGACCGCAUAAGUCGGUUAAAUCGCAUGAUUUGAUCGGGAAAUGAGCAAUCAGGUAUAGGAUGGGCCCGCGUCCGAUUAGCCAGUUGGCAGGGUAAAAGCCUACCAAAGCGACGAUCGGUAGCCGGACUGCGACGUCGGACGGCCACAUUGGGACUGAGACACGGCCCAAACUCCUACGGGAGGCAGCAGUGGGGGAUAUUGCACAAUGGAGGAAACUCGGAUGCAGCGACGCCGCGUGAGUGAAGAAGUAUUUCGGUAUGUAAAGCUCUAUCAGCAGGGAAGAUGAUGACGGUACCUGACUAAGAAGCCCCGGCUAACUACGUG
Molecule: ribosomal RNA, 481 nt
Filed under: uncultured bacterium
Lineage: Bacteria
Description: partial 16S ribosomal RNA
Rfam family: Bacterial small subunit ribosomal RNA
Source: RNAcentral